AACAUUUCAGGACCCUGAUGAAGAACCUGAGGGGAAAGAAAGAAGAGGAGUAUCUGAAGGAGAACCCCGAGGAUGAUCCAGAGUAGGAUCCUGAUGACGUUUGCUAUAGAAUCAAUUUGAGUCGAAACCAAUCGUUUUAGUAGGGCUUGUAUAUGCACAUAAGGGUGUGGUUUUUAGGUUCAGGUUUCUAGUCCUACUUGUAUAUCCCAUUACUUUAUUGUUUGGGGAUUUUUAUAUAUGCUUCCGCAUGUGCUAUCAAAAUGAAAAGGGUCGGCGAUACGUAGUCCUAGGAUAUCGCAUUAUAAAAUCGACCAAGCUUGAAGGAUGGUCACGUUACCGAGAGUCGGGGCGUGACAUCCUCUUUUUGUGGUAUCAGAGCUAUGGUUAGGUAUUGGAGUGAUAAGGUGCGUUGACCUAUGAGAUAAUAGUAGGAAAGGCCUUUAAAUUCAUGAUUGAUGCAUGUCUGUGAUAGCUGAUUUGUAGCUUGUUUGUGGAUCACUCGAAUUCUAAUGUGGUAUUAGAAUUAGAAAACAGGUUUCUAUAAAGAUCCUGUAGUUUGAGUGAUAAGGAGAUGAGGGCUCCUAGUAAGAGGACAGUAGCCUCUGUGACUCGGGAAUGAAUGCCGACAAGGAUCGGUGCUCGAGGUAGUUGUGGCAAAACGCCGGCUUAGGCCAGCGCGCGUGUAAGAGUACCGCCGUAGGUCGGUACUGAGAGUGUAGCAGCACCGAGCGAUCCUAGGUCCAGCAGGAUUGUUCAGGCGCAAGUUUUCUUAAGGAGCUUGUUGAGCCAGUAAGUUCGGAAUCAAGUUGAAGUUAUUGCCACACCUGCCGAGGUUUAGUAAGGAGACGUGAUCCGGGAGCAAGCCGUAGCAACUGAGUUGAGGUUCAAGUUCAGUAGAGUUGGAAAUCAGUUUGGAAAGGAGCUUAUGAUUGGAAAAAUAUAUUCUUUUUAGCCCAAUAGGAAAAGCGAGUUAGACAAGUCUACAUCGAAUUAAAACGUUGUGUGUUAUGGAAGACAAUAUGAAUCGGCCCCGUGCCAUGUUAAGACGGGUGCUGGUCUGGACUGUGACAGACAAGGUCACUUGGCAAGAGACUGUCUUAGAAGGCCGAUGGGAUAGGUUGUAAGGAGUGAGCCACAGAGCAUAUAGUGGAGUUUUCGAAACAGGCCUCCAGUGCAACCGAGAGGGUAUGCUAUCACCUAACAUGAGAUAAAGGACUCACUAGGUGAGUGCCAAAAGUAUGGAAGGAAUGCAUGGAUUGAUCCUGUGUUCGAGAAUGACUAGAACGUGCUUUGAUGGUAGGGAGCACGGCCAUCAGGUGAGGGACUAUCAGUUAGAGUUCAGGAAGAACGCCAACAUUGCAACUACCGAUAGAAUGCCACUAGGAUGGCGAAAGGGUCAGGAGUGAAACUGACCAUGCACCGAACAGAGAAAUGAUGUCUUGAAGUAAUUUUAUCAGAAUGGUGCCUCAGAGUUUCAAGGAUUAAGUUGUGGAAUUUCAAUAUGUGUGUUAAGGUGGUAGGAGAAGAACCAUUGACUAGAGUUGUACUUGAUUGGUUGUUGGCAUACAACUUAUUCGUCAAGUGUGGAAAAAAAAAAUUGGUUCUAGAACAUCUUGUGAUGAAUUGUUAUAGUGGAGUAACCUAGUUUAUUCUUGGAGAAGGUAGAAGUGCCAAGUUUUAUGAAGAGUCGAGAAGGGUCCUCGGCUUCUUUAAUCUCGUAACUUGAGGCAAUCCGUUUGUUAAACAGAGGUUGCCUAGGUUACUUGGCGAUUGUAAAAAAUAAGACAGAUUGAAGAAUUGAAAAUUGAGGACUCCUUAGUAGUCCAAGAAUUCCUGGAAGUGUUGCCAGAAGGAUGGUCAGACCGUCGCUAGAGAAAGAGAUAGAAUUAUGAUCGAGUUAACAUCCGGAACAGAACCGUUCUCUAAAAGUUCUUACCGGUUGUUGUUGUCUGAAUUGAUAGAACCAAUGGUGCAGAUGUGAGGAUUGUUGAAUGAGGAAUUCAUGCAUAUCAGUGCAUCACUUUAGGGAUCAUCAGUUUUGUGAAGAGAGAAAGAAAGAUGGUUCGUUGCAAUUAUGCAUCAACUAUAGUCGACUCAAUCAAGUGACAAUCAAGGAUAAGUGUUCAUUGUCAAAGAUCGACGUAUUGGGCGACUUGUUAUGAAGAGUGUGGAUGUCUUCAAGGAUCAACUUGAGGACAGGUUAUUGUCAGUUGAGAACUAGGAAGGAGGUUAUACUGAAGGCGGCAUUUCGCACUUGAUUUUGCCCUUGUGAAAAUAAUGUAAAGCCAUUUGAUUUGACGAACGCUCCAGCCGCUGUCAUAGAUUUGACAAACCGAGUGUUCAAAGAAUAUCUAGAUCAAUGGUGAUCGUGUGGUGUAACGACAUUCUAGAGUGUUCAUUAAGUGUUGAGGAUCACGAGAGCCCCUAAGAAUGGUCAUGUGAUUACAGAUAAAUGAAUCUUCAUGGACUCAACCAAGAUUGAAUAAGUUGUUAAUGGACUGAAACCGACAACAAUGUCAGAAAUCAGAAGUCGUGGGGAUUGGACAGAUUACUACAGAAGGUUCGUGAAAGAAUUUUCAGCAUUAGUAUCAUCGCGGGCUUGACCUCUUAAUAAAGAAGAGAAAUUCAUCGGUAUAGACAAGUACGAGGAUAGUUCCAGAGCUUCAGUAAGAUCAGGCUACCGCACUUGUGCUAAACUUUUCAUUUGGCUCUGGAAAGCAUGAAAUCUUUAGUGAUGCGUCUUGCCGAAGAUUGGGUAUGUAUUGAUACAACAUGAGAAGAUUGUUGUAUAACCGUCCCGACAGUUGAGACCCAGCAAGUUGAACAUGAAACAGUGUCGUGAAUCAGAAUUUUGGCAGAACUAUAAUGGUGUUAUCUGGUAUUACCUUGGGAGAAUGAAAGAAGUAAUUAAUGUGUUGAGCCGAGAGUCUUCGAUUGUACAUAGGCUGGCUAAAGUAUAAACUUUACUUAAAAAGGGUUUGAAAUUUGGUUUUCAAAUUUGAGGUAGGCUACCUUUUAAAUUUUAUAGCCGCCCUCAAAAUUGAACCAUAUAUUCAAAUUAGAAUUGGCGUCUAAUUAACAGAUAGAGAUGUUCAGAAGAUCUUAUAAGGGGAUACUGGCAAGAAAGAAUCUGACUUUAAGACUUCUGAGGAUGGAACGUUCGGGUUCCAUGAGUGAUUGAGUGCACUUGACAGUGCAGCACUCAGGGAAAGGAUCUUGUAAGAAGUUCACUAUAGUAUUGUAGUUUUGAUCAGAUGGUGCAAGUAAGUCAGAAUCGACGUCAGCUAGAUUGGUAGACCGAUAUAAAGAUAGAUAUCGUCAAACAGGUUGCAAGUGUUAGCGGUGUCAGUAAGUGGAAGUUCAAUAAUGCAAACCCAGAAGAUUUUACCAUCACUCGAGAAUCCCAAGUGGGAAUGGAAAUAUAUCACAAUGGAACAUUGUAACAGGCUUACUAAGGAUUCGGGGGAGUACUGAUACCAUUUAAAAAUAGUGGUCGAUCGAUAGAUGGAGUCGGUCUACUUUGGUACAGUACAAAUAGAUCUUGUUUUGGGUGUGUGACAUCCAGAUUUCGGGCUCUAAUUUCGAUUAGAUAAAUUGGGCAUUUCAUCGACACAAUUAUAGUGUUUUUCUCUGAGUUGGCCACUCAUGAGAUAACUAGACUAGCUGGGUGACUUAUUAAGGACCUUAAGGCAAAUAGACUUAAGAAUUCGACCAGGGAUCGACUUCUCGACCGUGCUCAUCUUUAGAGAUCAUUGCGGCACAGUAUAAAAUCGAUUUGAAAUCAUAGAUAGAUCAGUUCGACUAAGAUGAAUGACCGAUCGUGGGUGACUCCACUAAAUUGGAAAAUUCUCAUCGAUCGACACUAAUUUGAUUUUUCUGUCGUUUUGGUACCUUGUGUCCGUAUUUGAAUCCUUGAGAUUUUCACGACAAUCGAGAGUCACCAAUGGGUCGAGUGGGUUCAUUGUGGCUCGAAGAAAAUUGACCACGGGUCAUUUGUCCUAAAAAGCUCUUAAAACUACCCAGUAGCCUAGGUCACACUAAAAGUGUGUCGGAGUGAAAUUAACCGCCAAUCUAAGUUCGAUUUCAGAAAUUGAAGAUUUUGUCUUGUCAUAGAGUGGGUAUACUGAAGUGUGUGUGCAUCAGAUAAUUCGCCGGCAUGGAGUGCCGGGGAUGAAUUAUAUUUCGAAUCUAGAUCAGAGAUUACAAAUUUUGCAAAGUUUUCAGAGGGUUCUUUCUUAAGCAGUGUAUAGCAGAGGGUAUAGAAUUUCAGUGGUGAAAAGAAAGUGAAGAAAGAUUACAGGCCAGAGUCAGCUCAGUAAUCAGUGUUUGCAGUUGUCAGAUCAGUGUCAGAGUAAAGACUGCUCAGAACUGUCAGAAACUUUGAAUCGUUGAGGUUCGAAGGUUUAUUAAGGAGUCGAGAAAAAGAGAUCAGAUGUGGAUGAUAGGGUGUCUUAUGUGAGAAGCUCAGUUCAAUUGUUGGUUCAGAAAGAGCAGAGUUUGUGUACCAAGAUGAUCUCCUUAAUCAAAAUGGUCGGACAACACCACAAAACUGAAGGAUUAGCAUGGAAUAGUGAGACUCAAUGAAACGACAAUAGCCCCACCUUUUGUAUAAGGAUUGGUAAAAGUUUAAAUUUCGAGGACGAAAUUUUUAUAAGAGGGGAAGAAAUGUGACAUCCAGAUUUUUGGGUUCCAAUUUUGACUGGAUAAAUAGGGCCAUUUUUGUUUAGUUGAAGCCAGUGAUUGGGGAAUUAGGAUGCAAGUGGGAUUAUAUGACGGGAAAAGUCAUGAAAUAGACAAGGAUAUCUUGAUGGAUUUAUUUAGGCUUCAAUUGAAAUCAUUUGUUUGAGAAUUGAACAAAUUUGAGUAAUACUGAAGAAGAAAACUUAGCAAAAUUCGUAUGCCCAUAGACCCAACAUUUUAAAUUACCUUAAAGCUUCUAGAAGGGGCAUUUUUGGCAAGGAAAAGGGAGUGGAAGACAGCUGGAUUGGUGGGGCCAAAGAGAGAGAGAGAGAGGAGGAGAAAACCGAUUUCCCCUCUCUCCUCCGUCGGGCAUCUCCAUCUUCUUUCCCUUUCUUUGGGGUUUCUUCUUUAGCAACAACCGAAGAAGCCGAAGCAGCAGCAGCAGCUCCGCCCGUCGCCACCUCUUGCCGCCGCCGUCGCACGCCACUGCACGCCGUCGGAGUUGCCGUCUUGCUGCCUGCGCGCAGCUUCGCCCUCUCUCUCUUCCUCCUCCCGCUCGGUUUGUUCGAAGGCAGCAGAAGCAAAAACAGAAGCAACGUCCAGCGUCGCCGGAAGAAGCCAUAACCAGCUGCCUGGAUGCCGCCGCACCGGAGCUGCCGCCGUCCCGUCUGCUUCCCGCUCGCCGCCAUGCGCCGUCUACCUUGGUCCGAACGAGCUACUGUCCAGCCUCUGUUCCGCCUCUGUUCAGUCCCGUUCAGCCGCCUUCGGCCACCGCCUGACCUUCUCUGGCCACCGUCCGGCCUCACCGGAGUCCCCUCGGCCUUCGCCGACCUUGUCCAGCUCGAAUCAGCGCCAGAACCACCUCAAGCAGCCGCGCACAGAGAGUUCGAAAAUGGGUAUGGCAGUGGACGUUCGGCCCGUUUUGGCCGCCUUCCCGAGCCCGGGUGCUCAGCCCGCUUUGAGGAAAGUCGAUCCUCGUGUCGAGCCCAUUGUUUUGAGUGAGUUUUACUCACUAAAACCUUCUUAUUUUUCUAAUUACACUUAAAGGUUGAUUCGUGUUAGUUAAGUGUAAUUAGGUUGUUAGAUUAGAAUGUAUUAGCGAUUAUUAGUUAAUUUUAUUCCAUAUUAGUGAAAUAAUUAGUGUACUUGGAUAGAGAAUUGCCUAUAGUAUUUAUUCUAUGCUUCGUGGGAUUUUUCCCGACCCUUACCGGGUGUUAAUUAGGCGAUUCGGGCCUAAUUGGUAUUUUUAGGAAUUAAAUAUUAAUUUUCGAAAUUAAUUAUUUAAUUAUUUAUUUUCCGAAAAUUCAACUAGGAUGGCUAGUGACAGAGAUUUUAUGCUGAUGAUCGUGGCGCAGACCGUUUCUUUAAUUGAGCUUCAUAUUGUGCUAAAUUGGAAUUAUUGUGUUUAUUUAUUUAUUUUUCGAAAUUAAUUAUUUAAUUAUUUAUUUUCUGAAAAUUCAACUGGGAGGCCAGUGACCGGAAUAUUAUUCGGAUGACCGUGGUGAAGUCAGUUUAUUUAAUUGGGCUUUAUUUGGAGCUAAAUGGAAUUUUUAAUAUUUAUUAAUUAAUUAUUUUUCGGAAAUUAAUGCUGAGGUGAUCGACGACCGGAAUUUCGUGCUGAUUGUUGUGGCGCAGUCCGUUUAUUUAUUUGAGCUCUACGUUGUAUGAAAUUAAAUAAAUUGUGAUGUUUUAGGGAUUUACCCUAAAUUGAUUGAAAUUGAGUGAAAUUGAAUUAUUGAUUGGUAAAUGGCCGAGUAUGGCUAGUUAGCAUUUGUAUUGCCUUGUUGAGCUGUAAGUGGAGAAAGUGGUGAGAGCUAACUGAGAAUUCUAUUGCUGAGACCGAUCAAGUACGAAGUAUAGACAUGCGUGGUUCGGUGAUAAAGUACAUCACUGUGCGAAAACGGCGCCUUAAAGAACACACGUAGACUGUCUAUGACUUGUGGCAGGCGUGGUUCGGUGAUGAAGGACAUCACCGUGCGAAAACGGCGCCUUAAAGAACACACGUAGACUGUCUAUGACUUGUGGCAGGCGUGGUUCGGUGAUGAAGGACAUCAUUGUGCGAAAACGGCGCCUUAAAGAGCACAUGUAGACUGCCUGUGAAUCGUGACAGGCGUGGUUCGGUGAUGAAGGACAUCACUGUGCGAAAACGGCGCCUUAAAGAACGCACGUAGACUGUCUGUGAUCUAUGACGGGCGUGGUUCGGUGAUGAGGAAUAUCACUGUGCGUAAACGGCUCCUUAAAGAAUGCACGUAGACCGUCUGUUACUUAUGUCACCUUGGCGAAAACGACGCCGGAGAGCAUUGAUGGAGCUCUGUGACUAAGUGUAUUAUUGGAGGUUUUAUGGGAUGGAGUGAAUGACCUAGAAAUGGUCUGACUAUGAUGUAAUCGACUAAGUCGAUUGAUCCUUACCUUGAUUCGAUAUUGUGAAUUGAUUAAUUGAAUGAGAAUGACCGUGACUGAUCUUGUUGGCGUGUAAUCAAUUAGGUCGAUUCGAUCGAUGCUUCGAUCUGUGAUGUGAUUGCUUGGGUACUUAUUUGAUCUGUGCUAAUAUGCAGGUGGAAUCUGAGGCUAAGGUAAGCCAUCUGACUCAUGUUGUGCAUAGGAAGGUGUAUUAGUUUACUAAUCGGGUCUUAGUGUGGUAGAACUUGCUGAGACGUAGUCUCAUCCCGGUUUGGGGAAAACAUUUCAGGACCCUGAUGAAGAACCUGAGGGGAAAGAAAGAAGAAGAGUAUCUGAAGGAGAACCCCGAAGAUGAUCCAGAGUAGGAUCCUGAUGACGUUUGCUACAGAAUCAAUUUGAGUAGAAACCAAUUGUUUUAGUAGGGCUUGUAUAUGCACAUAAGGGUGUGGUUUUCAGGUUCAGGUUUCUAGUCCUACUUGUAUAUCCCAUUGCUUUAUUGUUUGGGGAUUUUUAUAUCUGCUUCCACAUGUGCUAUCAAAAUGAAUAGGGUUGGCAAUACGUAGUCCUGGGAUAUCGCAUUAUAAAAUCGACCAAGCUUGAAGGAUGGUCACGUUACCGAGAGUCGGGGUGUGACAUGAUCCAUUGCACCCACCAUUGCCAACAGUCCAAAGCAGAGAAGCAGGAAAUCUGCUUAUAAAUGCUAAUGAUGGCUUUGCAGCAGCAAAUACUAUACUCGAGAUUUUAAGUUUAUCCACGACAGAUCUCUCGGUGCUGGACUCCUCUC
Molecule: long non-coding RNA, 7864 nt
Filed under: Eucalyptus grandis
Lineage: Eukaryota; Viridiplantae; Streptophyta; Magnoliopsida; Myrtales; Myrtaceae
Description: long non-coding RNA (EGRA_LNC005924)
Source: RNAcentral